GUGAAUCAUCAAAUUUUUGAACGCAAAUUGCACUCUCUGGUAUUCCGGGGAGUAUGCUUGCUUGAGGGUUAUUUGGUUACAAAUAUAUAAAGAAAUUUUUACGAAUCUGGAUUUUCUAAUAGUUUUUUUUUUGGUAAUCUAAAAUUUAUCAUAACAAUAGUUGAUAUGGUAAAUGUUUAUUUUUGAUUCAUUAACAAUUAUUACCAAAUUCGUUACGUCGUUUUGUUUUUCUAAUUUCUUAAUUAGUUAAAUGUAUUAC
RNAcentral lists this unclassified non-coding RNA (259 nucleotides) under Acaulospora lacunosa. Its description in RNAcentral is "partial contains 5.8S ribosomal RNA and internal transcribed spacer 2". The stretch from base 1 to 71 matches the Rfam family "5.8S ribosomal RNA", at positions 84 to 154 of the family's 154-position model. Lineage: Eukaryota; Fungi; Glomeromycota; Glomeromycetes; Diversisporales; Acaulosporaceae. The record is from RNAcentral.